Molecule: small nuclear RNA, 285 nt
Filed under: Jaculus jaculus (lesser Egyptian jerboa)
Lineage: Eukaryota; Metazoa; Chordata; Mammalia; Rodentia; Dipodidae
Description: 7SK RNA (ENSJJAG00000002625.1)
Rfam family: 7SK RNA
About the family: 7SK was discovered as an abundant small nuclear RNA in the mid-70s but a possible function has only recently been suggested. Two independent studies have found that 7SK RNA binds the CDK9/cyclin T complex (known as elongation factor P-TEFb). P-TEFb activates transcription by phosphorylating the C-terminal domain of RNA polymerase II.
Source: Rfam by way of RNAcentral
GGAUGUGAGGGCGAUCUGGCUGCGACAUCUGUCACCGCACUGAUCGUCAGGGUUGCUUCAGCAGACCCGGCUGACCAGGCGGGGUCCCUUCCUCCCUCACCGCUCGUGUGCGUCCCUCCCGAAGCUGCGCGAUCGGUUGCAGAUGCCCGCCUUCCCCAAAUAGAGGAGGGCUGGUCUUUGUCAAGGGUAUACCAGUAGCUGCACUCCCCUGCUAGAAACAAGCUCUCAAAAUAAAAAAACAAAAAUAAAAAUCAGGGAUUAGCUCCAAGCGUUUCAUCCCCAAGU